ACCAUGCAAGUCGAGCGGAAACGAGUUAUCUGAACCUUCGGGGAACGAUAACGGCGUCGAGCGGCGGACGGGUGAGUAAUGCCUAGGAAAUUGCCCUGAUGUGGGGGAUAACCAUUGGAAACGAUGGCUAAUACCGCAUGAUGCCUACGGGCCAAAGAGGGGGACCUUCGGGCCUCUCGCGUCAGGAUAUGCCUAGGUGGGAUUAGCUAGUUGGUGAGGUAAGGGCUCACCAAGGCGACGAUCCCUAGCUGGUCUGAGAGGAUGAUCAGCCACACUGGAACUGAGACACGGUCCAGACUCCUACGGGAGGCAGCAGUGGGGAAUAUUGCACAAUGGGCGCAAGCCUGAUGCAGCCAUGCCGCGUGUGUGAAGAAGGCCUUCGGGUUGUAAAGCACUUUCAGUCGUGAGGAAGGUGGUGUAGUUAAUAGCUGCAUUAUUUGACGUUAGCGACAGAAGAAGCACCGGCUAACUCCGUGCCAGCAGCCGCGGUAAUACGGAGGGUGCGAGCGUUAAUCGGAAUUACUGGGCGUAAAGCGCAUGCAGGUGGUUUGUUAAGUCAGAUGUGAAAGCCCGGGGCUCAACCUCGGAAUAGCAUUUGAAACUGGCAGACUAGAGUACUGUAGAGGGGGGUAGAAUUUCAGGUGUAGCGGUGAAAUGCGUAGAGAUCUGAAGGAAUACCGGUGGCGAAGGCGGCCCCCUGGACAGAUACUGACACUCAAAUGCGAAAGCGUGGGGAGCACACAGGAUUAGAUACCCUGGUAGUCCACGCCUUAUACGAUGUCUACUUGGAGGUUGUGGCCUUGAUCCGUGGCUUUCGGAGCUACGCGUUAANUAGACCGCCUGGGGAGUACGGUCUCAUGAUUAAACUCUAUGAAUUGACGGGGGCCCCNACAAUCGGUGGANCUGUGGUUAAUUCNUGCAACGCGAAAACCGUACUACUUGACUUCGGAAAAGUUUCAGAGAUGAUUGG
RNAcentral lists this ribosomal RNA (970 nucleotides) under Vibrio neocaledonicus. Its description in RNAcentral is "bacterial SSU rRNA". It matches the Rfam family "Bacterial small subunit ribosomal RNA", at positions 53 to 1013 of the family's 1533-position model. The record is from RNAcentral. Lineage: Bacteria; Pseudomonadati; Pseudomonadota; Gammaproteobacteria; Vibrionales; Vibrionaceae.